AACGAACGCUGGCGGCAUGCCUAACACAUGCAAGUCGAACGAGACCUUCGGGUCUAGUGGCGCACGGGUGCGUAACGCGUGGGAACCUGCCCUUAGGUUCGGAAUAACUCCCCGAAAGGGGUGCUAAUACCGGAUAAUGUCUUCGGACCAAAGAUUUAUCGCCUUUGGAUGGGCCCGCGUUGGAUUAGCUAGUUGGUAGGGUAAAAGCCUACCAAGGCGACGAUCCAUAGCUGGUCUGAGAGGAUGAUCAGCCACACUGGGACUGAGACACGGCCCAGACCCCUAGGGGAGGGAGCAGGGGGGAAUAGUGGAAAAGGGGCAAAGGCCUGACCCAGCAAUGCCGGGUGAGUGAUGAAGGCCUUAGGGUGGAAAACCUCUUUUACCCGGGAUGAUAAUGACGGUCCCGGGAAAAAAAGCCCCGGCAAACCCCGU
RNAcentral lists this ribosomal RNA (432 nucleotides) under uncultured bacterium. RNAcentral describes it as "partial 16S ribosomal RNA". It matches the Rfam family "Bacterial small subunit ribosomal RNA", at positions 29 to 506 of the family's 1533-position model. The record is from RNAcentral.